ACUCCUACGGGAGGCAGCAGUGGGGAAUAUUGGACAAUGGGCGAAAGCCUGACCCAGCAACGCCGCGUGAGGGAUGACGGCCUUCGGGUUGUAAACCUCUUUCAGCAGGGACGAAGCGCAAGUGACGGUACCUGCAGAAGAAGCACCGGCCAACUACGUGCCAGCAGCCGCGGUAAUACGUAGGGUGCAAGCGUUGUCCGGAAUUAUUGGGCGUAAAGGGCUCGUAGGCGGUCCAUCGCGUCGGGAGUGAAAAGCUGGGGCUUGACCCCAGUCCUGCUUCCGGUACGGGUGGACUAGAGGUAGGUAGGGGAGAUCGGAAUUCCUGGUGUAGCGGUGAAAUGCGCAGAUAUCAGGAGGAACACCGGUGGCGAAGGCGGAUCUCUGGGCCUUACCUGACGCUGAGGAGCGAAAGCAUGGGGAGCAAACAGGAUUAGAUACCCUGGUAGUCCAUGCCGUAAACGUUGGGCGCUAGGUGUGAGGGACAUUCCACGUCCUUUGUGCCGCAGCUAACGCA
Molecule: ribosomal RNA, 514 nt
Filed under: uncultured bacterium
Lineage: Bacteria
Description: bacterial SSU rRNA
Rfam family: Bacterial small subunit ribosomal RNA
Source: RNAcentral